Molecule: ribosomal RNA, 255 nt
Filed under: uncultured bacterium
Lineage: Bacteria
Description: partial 16S ribosomal RNA
Rfam family: Bacterial small subunit ribosomal RNA
Source: RNAcentral
UACGUAGGGUGCAAGCGUUGUCCGGAAUUAUUGGGCGUAAAGAGCUCGUAGGCGGUCUGUUACGUCGGCUGUGAAAACCCGAGGCUCAACCUCGGGCCUGCAGUGGGUACGGGGCAGACUAGAGUGCGGUAGGGGAGAUUGGAAUUCCUGGUGUAGCGGUGGAAUGCGCAGAUAUCAGGAGGAACACCGGUGGCGAAGGCGGGUCUCUGGGCCGAUACUGACGCUGAGGAGCGAAAGCGUGGGGGAGCGAACAGG